This 769-nucleotide unclassified non-coding RNA is filed under the name Homo sapiens (human). RNAcentral describes it as "MAP3K7 C-terminal like (ENSG00000291525.1)". Lineage: Eukaryota; Metazoa; Chordata; Mammalia; Primates; Hominidae. The record is from RNAcentral.
UCUCCCUCCACACCUCCCCGCAAGCUGAGGGAGCCGGCUCCGGCCUCGGCCAGCCCAGGAAGGCGCUCCCACAGCGCAGUGGUGGGCUGAAGGGCUCCUCAAGUGCCGCCAAAGUGGGAGCCCAGGCAGAGGAGGCGCCGAGAGCGAGGGAGGGCUGUGAGGACUGCCAGCACGCUGUCACCUCUCAAUAGCAGCCCAAACAGAUUAAGACAUGGGAGGUGAAAGACAACUUGAGUGGUUAAAUUACUGUCAUGCAAAGCGACUAGAUGGUUCAGCUGAUUGCACCUUUAGAAGUUAUGUGGAACGAGGCAGCAGAUCUUAAGCCCCUUGCUCUGUCACGCAGGCUGGAAUGCAGUGGUGGAAUCAUGGCUCACUACAGCCCUGACCUCCUGGGCCCAGAGAUGGAGUCUCGCUAUUUUGCCCAGGUUGGUCUUGAACACCUGGCUUCAAGCAGUCCUCCUGCUUUUGGCUUCUUGAAGUGCUUGGAUUACAGUAUUUCAGUUUUAUGCUCUGCAACAAGUUUGGCCAUGUUGGAGGACAAUCCAAAGGUCAGCAAGUUGGCUACUGGCGAUUGGAUGCUCACUCUGAAGCCAAAGUCUAUUACUGUGCCCGUGGAAAUCCCCAGCUCCCCUCUGGGGUCUCGCUAUGUUGCCCAGGCUGGUCUGGAACUCCUGAGCUCAAGAGAUCCUCCCUCCUCCGCCUCUCAAAGUGCUGGGAUUACAGGCAUGAGCCACCGUGCCUGGCUGAAAUUGAAUUGAUUCUAUGACCU